CGGAGGCAGCAGUGGGGAAUAUUGCACAAUGGGAGGAAUCCUGAUGCAGCGACGCCGCGUGCGGGAUGAAGGGGCUUAGCCUCGUAAACCGCUGUCGGAGGGGACGAAUGGUACAUUUGAUGUACUGAGACGGUACCCUCAAAGGAAGGAUCGGCUAACUACGUGCCAGCAGCCGCGGUAAUACGUAGGAUCCGAGCGUUGUCCGGAAUUACUGGGUGUAAAGGGUGCGUAGGCGGACUUGUGCGUCAGAGGUGAAAUCCACGGGCUUAACCCGUGGGGUGCCUUUGAUACGGCAAGUCUUGAGUGCGAGAGAGGUGGGUGGAAUUCCUGGUGUAGCAGUGAAAUGCGUAGAUAUCAGGAGGAACACCGAUGGCGAAGGCAGCCCACCGGCUCGCAACUGACGCUGAGGCACGAAAGCGUGGGGAUCAAACAGGAUUAGAAACCCUAGUAGUCCG
Molecule: ribosomal RNA, 455 nt
Filed under: uncultured bacterium
Lineage: Bacteria
Description: bacterial SSU rRNA
Rfam family: Bacterial small subunit ribosomal RNA
Source: RNAcentral